GCUCAGAACGAACGCUGGCGGCAGGCUUAACACAUGCAAGUCGAACGCCCCGCAAGGGGAGUGGCAGACGGGUGAGUAACGCGUGGGAAUCUACCCAUCUCUACGGAAUAACUCAGGGAAACUUGUGCUAAUACCGUAUACGCCCUUCGGGGGAAAGAUUUAUCGGAGAUGGAUGAGCCCGCGUUGGAUUAGCUAGUUGGUGGGGUAAAGGCCUACCAAGGCGACGAUCCAUAGCUGGUCUGAGAGGAUGAUCAGCCACAUUGGGACUGAGACACGGCCCAAACUCCUACGGGAGGCAGCAGUGGGGAAUAUUGGACAAUGGGCGCAAGCCUGAUCCAGCCAUGCCGCGUGAGUGAUGAAGGCCCUAGGGUUGUAAAGCUCUUUCACCGG
RNAcentral lists this ribosomal RNA (390 nucleotides) under Shinella sp. RNAcentral describes it as "bacterial SSU rRNA". It matches the Rfam family "Bacterial small subunit ribosomal RNA", at positions 22 to 442 of the family's 1533-position model. The record is from RNAcentral. Lineage: Bacteria; Pseudomonadati; Pseudomonadota; Alphaproteobacteria; Hyphomicrobiales; Rhizobiaceae.